AUUGAAAGCUGGCGGCAUGCCUUACACAUGCAAGUCGAACGGCAGCAUGGAGAGCUUGCUCUCUGAUGGCGAGUGGCGAACGGGUGAGUAAUGCAUCGGAACGUACCGGGUAAUGGGGGAUAACGUAGCGAAAGUUACGCUAAUCCCGCAUACGACCAGAGGGUGAAAGCAGGGGAUCGCAAGACCUUGCGUUAUACGAGCGGCCGAUGUCCGAUUAGCUAGUUGGUGCAGUAAAGGCUCACCAAGGCGACGAUCUGUAGGGGGUCUGAGAGGAUGAUCCGCCACACUGGGACUGAGACACGGCCCAGACUCCUACGGGAGGCAGCAGUGGGGAAUUUUGGACAAUGGGGGCAACCCUGAUCCAGCCAUGCCGCGUGAGUGAAGAAGGCCUUCGGGUUGUAAAGCUCUUUCGGCCGGGAAGAAAUCGCACAGGCUAAUACUCUGUGUGGAUGACGGUACCGGCAUAAGAAGCACCGGCUAACUACGUGCCAGCCGCCGCAGUAA
RNAcentral lists this ribosomal RNA (504 nucleotides) under uncultured bacterium. RNAcentral's name for it is "partial 16S ribosomal RNA". It matches the Rfam family "Bacterial small subunit ribosomal RNA", at positions 30 to 523 of the family's 1533-position model. The record is from RNAcentral.